Molecule: unclassified non-coding RNA, 342 nt
Organism: Aotus nancymaae (Ma's night monkey)
Lineage: Eukaryota; Metazoa; Chordata; Mammalia; Primates; Aotidae
Source: Ensembl
UUUUGGGGCCGUGUUUACCGACUCUUCUUCUCUGCCUCUGCCCUGCUCAGCCUGGGCUUUGAGCCUCUUUGGUUUUCCAGCCAGACCCGGAAAAACGAAAAUACAGCUUGGGGAGCCCCUACUAGCCGGCGCCUGUGCCAGCUCACCUCUGGCCAUGACGGCAGCUGCCGGUGCACAAGGCGGCCAAAGCCAGCUCCACAGUCUUCCCUCCCCCUCCCACUUCACCGGAGCUCCGAACCCUGCGUGCAGAGGAAGGGCCUCAGCUCCACAGACGACUGGGUCCCUCCUCACCAAAAAUGGUGAGACAAGAUUUCAUCUUGUCCGCCGAGGAGCCACAAGCAG